This 435-nucleotide ribosomal RNA is filed under the name uncultured bacterium. RNAcentral's name for it is "bacterial SSU rRNA". It matches the Rfam family "Bacterial small subunit ribosomal RNA", at positions 8 to 422 of the family's 1533-position model. The record is from RNAcentral.
AGAGUUUGAUCCUGGCUCAGGACGAACGCUGGCGGCGUGCCUAACACAUGCAAGUCGAACGGAGAAUUCAAUAAGCUUGCUUAAAGAAUUCUUAGUGGCGGACGGGUGAGUAACGCGUGGGUAACCUGCCCAUAAAGCCGGGACAACCCUUGGAAACGAGGGCUAAUACCGGAUAAUCUUAGAUACUGGCAUCAGUAUUUAAGGAAAGAUGGCCUCUGAAUAUGCUAUCGAUUAUGGAUGGACCCGCGUCUGAUUAGCUAGUUGGUGGGGUAAAGGCCUACCAAGGCGACGAUCAGUAGCCGGCCUGAGAGGGUGAACGGCCACACUGGGACUGAGACACGGCCCAGACUCCUACGGGAGGCAGCAGUGGGGAAUCUUCCGCAAUGGACGAAAGUCUGACGGAGCAACGCCGCGUGUAUGAUGAAGGUCUUCGGA